GCCGGUUCCUGGCUAGGGCUUCACCCUCUGGCUUGUGCCCACGAACCUAGGUGAGGACAGGCACUCCUGCCUUUGGGCCCAAAUGUUGCAUUUUCCAAAACCACCCUGGCCCACCACACCCCCAUCCUGGGCGGAUAAAAACUGAGACCCUAGCAGGCAGAUAGAUACACAAGCGUCUGGACGUCCAGAGGAGGGGAUCAGCGGAAGAAGACACAAGCAGCCGGACAUCGAGAGGAUGUCGAGGGGAGCAUGCCAGUGGAAGAGCACAUGACAGACACUGGCAGGACAGCAGGCCAUUGACUGGAGGAACGAUGUGGAGUUUAGCGAGAUCAGGAGGAGGAGAGCACGGGCCGCUAAGCAGAGGGACCCCUGGUGCAUCUCCCAUCUGGCUCCCCCAUCUGCUGAGAACUACUUCUACUCAGUAAAACCUCGGACUCAUUCUCCAAGCCCUCGCGUGAUCUGGUUCUUCCGGUACACCACGGCAGGAAACCCUGGGAUACAGAAAUCCCUCCGUCCUUGUGGAUUUUAGAAUGCCAAGCUGACAUUUUGAGUUUUUAUGAGAAACCAGAAAAUUUGGUGUGAAGACCCUAAGUGGUGUGUCUGACUUACAGCAGGCCCACAGUACCUGUUAUUGAGUGAGAUAAGCAAAUGGUAUUUCAGGACCAAAACAUCUGUUUCCUGAAGAGUUGCUCCUUUAAUUGUGUAUCUACCUACCUGUCUAUGUAACUCUUGGCAAAUACAUUGGAGACUUCUCAACUUUCUGCUUCUGAUGAUCUCAACUUGUGGUAUGGCAAAAGGAGAGCAAAAUGUUCACCCAGAUGACAUCGUGAUCAACUCCUCUGAAUCACUCUAAAGGAACGAGAAGUCCUGGCAGCUGAGUCAUGAUCCCCCAGGAGCCAUUAAGAAGUUAAUCUUCAGUCACUUCCAUCCAAACAGAAGAAAACCCAUGAAGGAUGAGAACUAUGGGUCCUGAGAAUGACAGGUAUUGAAGACAGGAUUUAUCUUCUCUACUUCUUCUUUUAGAAGCAGAUCAAGAAACUGGCGAUUGAAGAGUAACUGAAAGAAACGCAAUCUGAUCUUACUAGCAGUGAAAGAGCGAGUCUCCCUCUGAUGCCGAGCAGAAGCUAGACUGUACUGCUGCCAUCUCAGCUCACUGCAACCUCCCUGCCUGAUUCUCCUGCCUCAGCCUGCUGAGUGCCUGCAAUUGCAGGCGCGCCGCCACGCCUGACUGGUUUUCGUAUUUUUUUGGUGGAGACGGGGAUUCGCUGUGUUGGCCGGGCUGGUCUCCAGCUCCUAACCGCGAGUGAUCCACCAGCCUCGGCCUCCUGAGGUGCCGGGAUUGCAGACGGAGUCUGGUUCACUCAGUGCUCAAUGGCGCCCAGACUGGAGUGCAGUGGCGUGAUCUCAGCUCGCUACAACCUCCACCUCCCAGCCGCCUCCCUUGGCCUCCCAAAGUGCAGAGAUUGCAGCCUCUGCCCGGCCGCCACCCCGCCUGGGAAGUGAGGAGCGUCUCUGCCUGGCCGCCCAUUGUCUGGGAUGUGAGGAGCCCCUCUGCCUGGCUGCCCAGUCUGGAAAGUGAGGAGUGUCUCUGCCUGGCCGCCAUCCCAUCUAGGAAGUGAGGAGCGCCUCUUCCCGGCCGCCAUCCCAUCUAGGAAGUGAGGAGCCUCUCUGCCCAGCCGCCCAUCGUCUGAGAUGUGGGGAGCGCCUCUGCCCCGCCGCCCCGUCUGGGAUGUGAGGAGCGCCUCUACCCCGCCGCGACCCCGUCUGGGAGGUGAGGAGCGUCUCUGCCCGGCGGCCCCGUCUGGGAAGUGAGGAGACCCUCCGCCCGGCAGCCGCCCCAUCUGAGAAGUGAGGAGCCCCUCUGCCCAGCAGCCACCCUGUCUGGGAAGUGAGGAGCGUCUCUGCCCAGCAGCCACCCCGUCUGGGAGGGAGGUGGGGGGUCAGCCCCCCGCCCGGCCAGCCGCCCCGUCCGGGAGGUGAGGGGCGCCUCUGCCCGGCGGCCCCUACUGGGAAGUGAGGAGCCCCUCUGCCCGGCCAGCCGCCCCGUCUGGGAAGUGAGGAGCGUCUCCGCCCAGCAGCCACCCCGUCCGGGAGGGAGGUGGGGGGAUCAGCCCCCCGCCCGGCCAGCCGCCCAGUCCGGGAGGGAGGUGGGGGGGUCAGCCCCCCGCCCGGCCAGCCGCCCCGUCCGGGAGGUGAGGGGUGCCUCUGCCCGGCCGCCCCUACUGGGAAGUGAGGAGCCCCUCUGCCCGGCCAGCCGCCCGGUCCGGGAGGGAGGUGGGGGGGUCAGCCCCCUGCCUGGCAAGCCGCCCCGUCUGGGAGGGAGGUGGGGGGAUCAGCCCCCCGCCGGGCCAGCCACCCCGUCCGGGAGGUGAGGGGUGCCUCUGCCCGGCCGCCCCUACUGGGAAGUGAGGAGCCCCUCUGCCCGGCCAGCCGCCCCAUCCGGGAGUGAGGUGGGGGGGUCAGCCCCCUGCCCGGCCAGCCGCCCCGUCCGGGAGGUGAGGGGCGCCUCUGCCCGGCCGCCCCUACUGGGAAGUGAGGAGCCCCUCUGCCCGGCCACCACCCCGUCUGGGAGGUGUACCCAACAGCUCAUUGAGAACGGGCCAUGAUGACAAUGGCGGUUUUGUGGAAUAGAAAGCGGGGAAAGGUGGGGAAAAGAUUGAGAAAUCGGAUGGUUGCCGUGUCUGUGUAGAAAGAGGUAGACAUGGGAGACUUUUCAUUUUGUUCUGUACUAAGAAAAAUUCUUAUCCUGUUGAUCUGUGACCUUACCCCCAACCCCGUGCUCUCUGAAACAUGUGCUGUGUCCACUCAGGGCUAAAUGGAUUAAGGGCGGUGCAAGAUGUGCUUUGUUAAACAGAUGCUUGAAGGCAGCAUGCUCGUUGAGAGUCAUCACCACUCCCUAAUCUCAAGUAACCAGGGACACAAACACUGUGGAAGGCCGCAGGGUCCUCUGCCUAGGAAAACCAGAGACCUUUGUUCACUUGUUUAUCUGCUGACCUUCCCUCCACUAUUGUCCUAUGACCCUGCCAAAUCCCCCUCUGCGAGAAACACCCAAGAAUGAUCAAUAAAAAAAUAAAAUAAAAUAAAAUAAAAUAAAAUAAAUAAAGUUUCAUGCGCAUCCGUGUGAAGAGACCACCAAACAGGCUUUGUGUGAGCAGCAUGGCUGUUUAUUUCACCUGGGUGCAGGCGGGCUGAGUCCGAAAAGAGAGUCAGCCAAGGG
RNAcentral lists this long non-coding RNA (3217 nucleotides) under Homo sapiens (human). Its description in RNAcentral is "HSALNT0044675". Lineage: Eukaryota; Metazoa; Chordata; Mammalia; Primates; Hominidae. The record is from RNAcentral.